AUAGCGAAAACGAUUUGGUACAUCACUUCGCCAAUUUGCUGCAGUGUUCUCAGGAUGGAAAGGAGAAUAUUUCCGUAAAAGCUAUUCAAGAACUUUUUAAUAAAAAAUACGGUGAAGUUGUGAAAAAGAAAAACGGGAAAAUGCCAUAUUCGAAAAUUCAAGAAUAUGGUAUUGCUUUUAUCGGACUUCCAGCUCAUCUGGAGAUAGAUA
Dendronephthya gigantea is the source of this 210-nucleotide long non-coding RNA. RefSeq lists it as uncharacterized. The transcript is spliced from 3 exons. The record is from RefSeq and is a predicted model, not a curated record. NCBI's taxonomy places the organism in Eukaryota, Metazoa, Cnidaria, Anthozoa, Malacalcyonacea, Nephtheidae.